Non-coding RNA from Gossypium hirsutum (cotton), 143 nucleotides. The record is from Rfam. Lineage: Eukaryota; Viridiplantae; Streptophyta; Magnoliopsida; Malvales; Malvaceae.
UAUUAAAAAAUUUCAUCCAUUUUUACAGUUAAAAAUUGGCAUGGACGAAAUAACCAAACAGUUACACGUAGCGUGCCACAUGUACCUCAUUCUAGCGUACAAGAAUCAGUUUUUAACAACAGAAAUAGAUGAAAUUUUUAACA